Long non-coding RNA from Mesocricetus auratus (golden hamster), 379 nucleotides. RefSeq lists it as uncharacterized. The record is from RefSeq and is a predicted model, not a curated record. The transcript has 3 exons. Lineage: Eukaryota; Metazoa; Chordata; Mammalia; Rodentia; Cricetidae.
UUCUGGGUGCCAGUUUCAGACUUGUCUCUGAAGAGGAGCUGGCAUUUUUUUUGUGUGUGUGCUGUGCUGCCAGUGCUGCUACAGGGAGCUGAGUGGAGAGCUUGGGCAAGCUAGGUAACCAUGACAUGGUCCUGUCACUAGGUCUCCUUAACCAAUCAGAGACUCGUGCACGGACCUGUACAUCUGAUGGAAGGGUUCUUUUGGGAGCCAGGGUUCUGCCUUAGCUCCUCUUCUGAGGAAGUCAGGAGUUGGCCAGUGUGACCUUGACCUUGGACUCUGCUCUGGGUAGAGCAAUUGCAAGCCUGCCAGCUUGGUAAGCAUGAUUUCGGCUUCCGGUUCGGCAGCGGAAAACUACUGGACUCAUCUGUGUUACUUGCUU